Molecule: ribosomal RNA, 429 nt
Filed under: Actinomycetes bacterium
Lineage: Bacteria; Bacillati; Actinomycetota; Actinomycetes
Description: Actinobacteria bacterium partial 16S ribosomal RNA
Rfam family: Bacterial small subunit ribosomal RNA
Source: RNAcentral
UAGGGAAUCUUCCGCAAUGGGCGAAAGCCUGACGGAGCAACGCCGCGUGAGUGAUGAAGGUCUUCGGAUCGUAAAACUCUGUUAUUAGGGAAGAACACAUGUGUAAGUAACUAUGCACGUCUUGACGGUACCUAAUCAGAAAGCCACGGCUAACUACGUGCCAGCAGCCGCGGUAAUACGUAGGUGGCAAGCGUUAUCCGGAAUUAUUGGGCGUAAAGCGCGCGUAGGCGGUUUUUUAAGUCUGAUGUGAAAGCCCACGGCUCAACCGUGGAGGGUCAUUGGAAGCUGGAAAACUUGAGUGCAGAAGAGGAAAGUAGAAUUCCAUGUGUAGCGGUGAAAUGCGCAGAGAUAUGGAGGAACACCAGUAGCGAAGGCGACUUUCUGGUCUGUAACUGACGCUGAUGUGCGAAAGCGUGGGGAUCAAACAGG